Molecule: long non-coding RNA, 1089 nt
Organism: Asterias rubens (European starfish)
Lineage: Eukaryota; Metazoa; Echinodermata; Asteroidea; Forcipulatida; Asteriidae
Exons: 2
Source: RefSeq, a predicted model, not a curated record
CGUGCGGCCGACAGAGGAAGCGGACUGUUUAGCGAAGAGAAACGGGGAAGCUCUAAAGCCAUCGACCACAAACUGGACAGUCUUCACUUUGCUCUGUGGUGUAGACGAAUGAACCAACAAAAUUCCCUCUGCAAGUAAACCACAAUAUAUUAGAACCAGCUAUAUUUCCAGGAUCAGUCAUUUCUACACAAACUCUAUUUCUACAGGAGCUUUAAUAGCAUGCAAGUGAGAGCUUAAAGCAACAGGAACGUUCGAAGUUUGUCGCAGGAGUUGGGCAGUUUGAAUGAUUCCAAAAUGGCGGGGAUAUCCAAUGCAUAUUAUUAUUAUUGUUUCUGAGAGACCAUGUGAUUAUUAAUUCUUUAUAUCUUUUACCUCAACAAAACAAUAAUAUCAAAACAAACAUUGUUUGACUGUUAUUGUUUUCCACCAUUAUUUGUUUUGCAUUCAAAACUGUGUAGAGAAAUGCAACAUGGAGGGACUAGUGGUCACGUGGUUGCUGGACACCAUUUUCGGUCCAAUGUAGCACAACCCGAUGUGCAGUCUAGUCUGGUACCCUGUCGUUUCUUUGGACCGAAAAUGGCCCUUCAAAUCGCAAAUCGUCGCAACUCACUUAAUACACAGUUCUGAGUUCGUUCACACUAUAUAGUGCUAUUCACACGACAGAAAUUUAACUGGGGUCCCUUGCUUAUUUUAGCAUGGUUGUAAAAUGUAGCAAUGUUUGACAAGAUUUUGCAAGAGAACCUGGACAGUAAAAACAAUUGUCGUCCUUUCAAACGAAGAAUAUUUUGUAAAAUGUUUACAACCAUGCUUCAAUUUAUCAAGGGACCCUUGCUAAAAUGCUCUCGUGAAAGGGGCUUAAAGCGACCUCUUUCUAAAAGAUUUGCAUCGCGUUUAAAUUGUACAAUCUACCCUUAAGUUAAGCCCCGGAACCCUUCCUCCGUGCUUCAGCAUGAGGCGCAGAACAGAAUCUUAUUAUGAACACUAAUCUACGUUACUUGUUCGAGGCUUGAGUCAUAUAACAUGUUUGGUGUGAACUACAUUGGGAAUGUGUUUUCGGAACGCUUAUAGAGGUAGUAAAGAGACCUACCU